UGUCGCCAGAUUUUGCCAGCCACGCCCCCUAUAUGUAAGAGCGCAGACUGGGCUUGCUACGAUGUGAGAGAGAGUAAGUUCAUUCCAUAGUCAAGCGGCCAGAAACAGUUAUGCCACUGCUUGAUUAUAUCAGGGGCUACAGAGACUUCUGGAUAAGGAUGUUCUGUUUCUGGUGUUGUAGGAGGCCUGAUUAUGUUCCAUUUCGCCAACGGACUCCGCAAAAAGCUCCCGAGUCAUACGACGAAAUGUAGCGUCGGAUGAUACAUCUGGACGAAGAAAAAAUAUGCCAAUGAGCUGAUUCGGCGCACAAAGGAAUGUCGAGUCUUCACGUUUGUUGUAAUUACAUAUUCUAAAACUUGGCAUCCAUUAUUUUAUAAUUAUUUCAAUGGUCACAAAGAAAAUGUAUUUUCUCGUUGAAAAUACUCCAGAACUAAAAUUCAGUAACGCAGGUGGUGACCUUUAAAUCAGCAUGAUAAACGAAUUACUCUUGUAAUUUUGCGCAUAUUUAAAUGUUUUUACAUAAAGUAUAAAUACGUAGUGACAGGUCUAAGAAUAAUUCAGAUGUUUAUGAAGAGAUGUUACUGGUAUCAAAACUGAUGCUUGUAUCCAUAAUUUUAGUUCAAAUACUUAAAAAUGUUCUCUAUGAAGCAUUGUUUGAAUAAAAUUUUAAAAUUCUAAUUUUAUAGCAUGUUAAUACAAUUUGUGAAAUAUAUUACAUAUCAA
This is a long non-coding RNA of Schistocerca gregaria, 723 nucleotides long. RefSeq lists it as uncharacterized. The transcript is spliced from 2 exons. The record is from RefSeq and is a predicted model, not a curated record. Lineage: Eukaryota; Metazoa; Arthropoda; Insecta; Orthoptera; Acrididae.